This 422-nucleotide ribosomal RNA is filed under the name uncultured bacterium. Its description in RNAcentral is "bacterial SSU rRNA". It matches the Rfam family "Bacterial small subunit ribosomal RNA", at positions 1 to 431 of the family's 1533-position model. The record is from RNAcentral.
GCCCUUAGAGUUUGAUCCUGGCUCAGAAUGAACGCUGGCGGCGUGCCUAACACAUGCAAGUCGAGCGAGAAAACUCCUUCGGGAGUGAGUACAGCGGCGGACGGGUGAGUAACACGUGAGAAUUUCCCCUUCAGUGAAGAAUACCCCCGAGAAAUCGGGGUUAAUACAGCAUACGUCCCUUCGGGGAGAAAGGUGGCCUCUUGCUACCGCUGAAGGAUAAGCUUGCGGGCUAUCAGCUAGUUGGUGGGGUAAUGGCUCACCAAGGCUAUGACGGCUAACCGGCCUGAGAGGGUGUUCGGUCACAUUGGAACUUAGAUACGGUCCAGACUCCUACGGGAGGCAGCAGUGGGGAAUAUUGCGCAUGGGCGAAAGCCUGACGCAGCGACGCCCCGUGAAGGAUGAAGGUCUUCGGAUUGUAAACU